Long non-coding RNA from Eriocheir sinensis (Chinese mitten crab), 1007 nucleotides. RefSeq lists it as uncharacterized. The record is from RefSeq and is a predicted model, not a curated record. NCBI's taxonomy places the organism in Eukaryota, Metazoa, Arthropoda, Malacostraca, Decapoda, Varunidae. The transcript has 5 exons.
CCAUUUUAAUCUGCUCUCAUUAUUAUAUUUAUUUUCCUAUUUUUUCAUAUAUUUCUCCAUGUAUUGUCUCUGUCUCUCUUGGUUCCUUAUUCUUCAACAAUUCAAGGCUUACAAACGCAUCUUUCUCAUUUUCUCUCAAACAUUAACAACCCAUAACUUCUUACCUCAUUAUUUAAUUUAUUUUCCUUUUCUUUCAUAUCUUUCCGUGAUCUCAUAUUCUUAAGCUUUUCGGGGCUUGAACACACACACACACACACACACACACACACACACACACACACACACACACACACACACACACACACAUCUUUCUCAUUUACUCCUCUUAAUAAGGCAACAUUAGCAAAUCAUUUUUUCUUCUCCUCUCGGUAUUUUACUUAUCAUCCUCCUCCUCCUAUUCAUAUCUUUCUCCUCUAAAACAAAGAGUAGCAAUCUCGUGUUAUAAGCCCCACUCCCUUUAACAGACUGACUGAGGUUGUUGUGUUAGUAUUUCCAUGGGUAGUGUUAUGAGCCUAGUGAUAGUGUGACAAGGCUUUAGUAGAGGUUGUUGUGUUAGUAUUUCCAUGGGUAGUGUUAUGAGCCCGGUGAUAGUUUGACAAGGCUUUGGUAGAGGUUGUUGUGUUAGUAUUUCCAUGGGUAGUUUUAUGAGCCUAGUGAUAGUUUGACAAGGCUUUGGUAGAGGUUGUUGUGUUAGUAUUUCCAUGGGUAGUUUUAUGAGCCUAGUGAUAGUUUGACAAGGCUUUGGUAGAGGUUGUUGUGUUAGUAUUUCCAUGGGUAGUGUUAUGAGCCCGGUGAUAGUUUGACAAGGCUUUGGUAGAGGUUGUUGUGUUAGUAUUUCCAUGGGUAGUGUUAUGAGCCUAGUGAUAGUGUGACAAGGCUUUGGUAGAGGUUGUUGUGUUAGUAUUUCCAUGGGUAGUGUUAUGAGCCUAGUGAUAGUUUGACAAGGCUUUGGUAGAGGUUGUUGUGUUAGUAUUUCCAUGGGUGGUUUUAUGGGCCUGGUGAUAGUU